This 440-nucleotide ribosomal RNA is filed under the name uncultured bacterium. RNAcentral's name for it is "partial 16S ribosomal RNA". It matches the Rfam family "Bacterial small subunit ribosomal RNA", at positions 338 to 795 of the family's 1533-position model. The record is from RNAcentral.
CCUACGGGAGGCAGCAGUGAGGAAUAUUGCUCAAUGGGCGAUAGCCUGAUCCAGCCACGCCGCGUGAGUGAAGACGUACUUCUUUACUUUAAGCUCUUUCAGCAGGGAAGAAAAUUACGGUAUCUGAGUAAGAAGCCCCGGCUAAAUACGUGCCCGAAGCCGCGGUACUACGGAGGGGGCAAGCGUUAUCCGGAUUUACUGGGUGUAAAGGGAGCGUAGACGGUUCGCCAAGUCUGGAGUGAAACUGCGCAGCUUAACUGCGGAACUGCAGUGGAAACUGGCGAACUAGAGUGCGGGAGGGGUAGGCGGAAUUCGUGGUGUAGCGGUGAAAUGCGUAGAUAUUAGGAGGAACACCGGUGGCGAAGGCAGCUUACUGGACCGUAACUGACGUUGAGGCUCGAAAGCGUGGGGAGCAAACAGGAUUAGAUACCCUUGUAGUC